This 253-nucleotide ribosomal RNA is filed under the name uncultured bacterium. Its description in RNAcentral is "partial 16S ribosomal RNA". It matches the Rfam family "Bacterial small subunit ribosomal RNA", at positions 524 to 776 of the family's 1533-position model. The record is from RNAcentral.
UACGAAGGGUGCAAGCGUUACUCGGAAUUACUGGGCGUAAAGCGUGCGUAGGUGGUUUGUUAAGUCUGUUGUGAAAGCCCCGGGCUCAACCUGGGGAUGGCAAUGGAUACUGGCAAGCUAGAGUGCGGUAGAGGGUAGUGGAAUUCCUGGUGUAGCGGUGAAAUGCGCAGAUAUCAGGAGGAACACCGAUGGCGAAGGCGGCUCUCUGGGACGGUACUGACGCUGAGACGCGAAAGCGUGGGGAGCGAACAGG